AAAACUUUAAGUUAAAAAAACUAAUAGCCUUCAAAGCUAUAAAUAAAAGAAUUACCUUUUAAGUUUUA
This 68-nucleotide transfer RNA is filed under the name Glyptotendipes tokunagai. RNAcentral's name for it is "tRNA-Trp". The record is from RNAcentral. Lineage: Eukaryota; Metazoa; Arthropoda; Insecta; Diptera; Chironomidae.